Molecule: unclassified non-coding RNA, 250 nt
Filed under: plant metagenome
Description: partial contains small subunit ribosomal RNA, internal transcribed spacer 1, and 5.8S ribosomal RNA
Source: RNAcentral
GUAGGUGAACCUGCGGAAGGAUCAUUAAAGAGUUUAGGGACUUCGGUCUACUACUCCACCCUUUGUUUACAAUACCAUUGUUGCUUUGGCAGGCCCGUCGCAAGACAGCCGGCUUCGGCUGGUCAGCGCCUGCCAGAGGACCUAAAACUCAUGUUUAAAUUAUUGUCUGAGUACUAUAUAAUAGUUAAAACUUUCAACAACGGAUCUCUUGGUUCUGGCAUCGAUGAAGAACGCAGCAUCUGACUGACUC